RNAcentral lists this long non-coding RNA (1477 nucleotides) under Vitis vinifera (wine grape). RNAcentral's name for it is "long non-coding RNA (VVIN_LNC001747)". Lineage: Eukaryota; Viridiplantae; Streptophyta; Magnoliopsida; Vitales; Vitaceae. The record is from RNAcentral.
UUCAAUUUGAAUACAUAGAAGAGAACUUGUACAAUAAGAGUCCUGCGCUUCUCAAGUAUAAUCCAGUUCACAAGAAAGUCCCUGUGCUCGUACACAAUGGAAAGCCGGUUGCAGAGUCACUUGUCAUCCUGGAGUACAUUGAUGAGACCUGGAAACACAACCCCUUCUUGCCUACAGACCCUUACGAAAAGGCCAAGGCACGGUUCUGGGCUAGGUUCAUAGAUGAGAAGGUAAAUCUAAUACUAUUUUGUUUUUCUUUUUUUAAAAAUCAUCUGGGUCUUGUCUCUUUAAGCAUUGGUAAACUUUAUAUGCAUUAUACAGUUCUGGCCGGCAGCAAAAAAGGCUAUGGCGAGUAGGGGAAGGGAGCGAGAGGAAGCGAUUGAAGAAGCUCAGCAGCAUCUGAAAACCCUUGAGAGUGAGCUGAAAGAGAAGAAAAUCUUUGGAAGGGAGAGUUUGGGAUUUGUAGACAUAGCUGCGCAUCUUUUGUUUUGGCUUGUUGUUGCCCAAGAAGCCUUUGGAGUGGAGAUCCUAACUGAGGAGAAGUUUCCCGCCGUGCAUGAAUUGUAUCAAAGGCUCGCAGAUGAGGCUGUUUUCAAGGAAUGUAUGCCACCAAAGGAGCAACUCAUUGCCUAUCUUAAAGUUCGGUUGGGAGCCUGGACUGCUUCCAAAUGAAGAGUUGGUUUAUGUACGUGUCUGAGUUGAUGGGAGAGGAACCUCUUUCUUCUCAUCUACGUAUGUCAAAGUCCUGUAUUUUGAAGUUGUAUCAUGAGCUUUGUCCCGUUUGUGGGUAUGAGAACUUAAAAAUAAAUUGGAGAAGUACUGCACUAAAUGGUACUACGAGGAAGAACACUCCAGCAUUGCUCCUUAAUAAUAGCAUUUCAAUUCUAUGUACAUCGACCUCUAGAUUAGAUUAAUAAAGAUUUGGAUAUAGAGAUGCUUAUGAAAGAGCAGCAUGGCUUGGUUCUGGUUCAGUUCAUGGAUAUGAGAGAAUGUAAGUGACGUUGAGCCUCAACUCUAAUGCUUUAAGGUUGUGUUUUGAAUUUAUGGCAUGGGAUGCUGAUGCUACUUCUAUAUUCUGCUUUGAAUCAUGGGUGUAUAUGGGCAUCACAAAACUAGAAGCUCCGUUUUGCUACAAAAUUUUCAAAACAUUCAAUGUUUCUAUGCCUAUUUUUUAAAAUAAUUGAUUAUAAACAUAUAAAAUAGUAAUUAACAAAAAUGCUCCUUUUACCAAUUUUUGUUUUUAUUCUAUCAUUCUUCCUAUGCUAUUAGGAGCAAAUUCUCUUUUAUUUAACCAUUUUAGGAUUUUUCAUUAUUUUUUAAACUCUUUUAUAAAUAAUUGAAAAAUCAAUAUUAUUUUCGGUUGGUUGCAGAGUCACUUGUCAUCCUGGAGUACAUUGAUGAGACCUGGAAACACAACCCCAUCUUGCCUACAGACCCUUACGAAAAGGCCUUGGCACGGUUCUGGGCUAGGUUCAUA